This 425-nucleotide ribosomal RNA is filed under the name uncultured bacterium. RNAcentral describes it as "bacterial SSU rRNA". It matches the Rfam family "Bacterial small subunit ribosomal RNA", at positions 354 to 796 of the family's 1533-position model. The record is from RNAcentral.
GUUGGGAAUCUUGGACAAUGGGGGAAACCCUGAUCCAGCCAUGCCGCGUGAGUGAUGAAGGCCUUCGGGUUGUAAAACUCUUUCGCGCACGACGAUAAUGACGGUAGUGCGAGAAGAAGCUCCGGCUAACUUCGUGCCAGCAGCCGCGGUAAUACGAAGGGGGCUAGCGUUGUUCGGAAUUACUGGGCGUAAAGCGCGCGCAGGCGGUCUUCCAAGUCAGUGGUGAAAGCCCGGAGCUCAACUCCGGAACUGCCAUUGAAACUGUUGGACUUGAGUAUGAGAGAGGUGAGUGGAAUUCCCAGUGUAGAGGUGAAAUUCGUAGAUAUUGGGAAGAACACCGGUGGCGAAGGCGGCUCACUGGCUCAUUACUGACGCUCAGGCGCGACAGCGUGGGGAUCAAACAGGAUUAGAUACCCUUGUAGUCC